RNAcentral lists this long non-coding RNA (1239 nucleotides) under Homo sapiens (human). RNAcentral describes it as "non-protein coding lnc-FOXI3-1:1". The record is from RNAcentral. Lineage: Eukaryota; Metazoa; Chordata; Mammalia; Primates; Hominidae.
CUGCCUCCCAAAGCACUGGGAUUAAAGGCAUGAGCCAUCACACCUAGCCAAAAAAAAACUCUUAAAUGGAAUUUUAGACCAGGUGCAAUGGUUCACACCUGUAAUCCCAACACUUAGGAGACUGAGGUGGGAGGAUCGCUUGAGUCCAGGAGUUUGAGACCAGCCUGAGCAGCACAGCAACACUCUGUGUCUACAAAAUAUUUUUAAAACAAUGAAGAAAUGGGAUUUUAUAGUUUUUAAUACAAUAAACCGUUUGUGGUCAGUUUUUAAAAAGAUAUAUUUAAUCUUAUUUAUUUUAGCACUCUCUUCUCAGAGGUAUCAUUUGAAUAAUUUUUAUGGGCAACCUUCUAGUGCCCAGUAGAGUGCCCAGUACACUCAUCCACUAGUUGCCGAAUGACAGAAUUUAUUCAGGGCCGGCGCAGUGGCUCAAACCUGUAAUCCCAACCCUUUGGGAAGCCUAAGCGGGCAGAGCACUUGAGCCCAGGAGUUUGAGACCAGCCUGGGCAACAUGGUGAAACCCCAUCUCUACAAAAAAUAACAAAAAUUAGCUAGGUGUGGUGGUGUGCACCUGUAGUGCCAGCUACUUGGGGGGCUGAGGUGGGAGGAUCACUUGAACCUGGGGAGUUGAGGCUGCAGUGAGCUGAGAUCAUGCUACUGUAUGACAGCCUGGGUGACAAAGUGAGACCCUGUCUCAAAAAACAAAUUUUUUAUUCAAAAAGUGUUCAUUAAAAUGCAGGUAGUUGUCAAAUUUAUGGGAACGGUGUUCCACAAAAAUGAAUUCAUCGUCCUAUGAGUUGCCUUUGUACCACGUUUUUGGAUGUGAGCAUGGCUAGUUUGGGGUUUUAACUUUUUUAGAAACAGGAACAGAAGCACAUUGUAAAAAAAUUUAAAAUUCCCUGGGUAUUUUUUCACCCCGAGACUCUCACAGCAUUACUUUAAAAAUUUUUUAUUUUGAAAUAUACAUACAGAAAAUUAUUUUUCUAAACAGCUUAUUGAGGUACAAAUGACAUCACCAUUACUUUUUUAACAUUAUGCAGAAAGACAACCAAAGACUACCUACUCCCACAGUAUGUGUACAAAAAAACGGUUUCUAUGGAUAUUUUUGUAUAUGAAAAUAUCAUGGACUUAUAUAAAUAUUGUUUCUAGCACAACUCUAUAUUUGUAAAUUAAUUUAUAAUGUAAACUGGGGCAGCAAAGAAAAGUUUUUCCCAAGAAAGUUCACUGCAUGCUGAGAAGAAG